Molecule: ribozyme, 72 nt
Filed under: Mediterraneibacter faecis
Lineage: Bacteria; Bacillati; Bacillota; Clostridia; Lachnospirales; Lachnospiraceae
Description: HDV ribozyme from F. prausnitzii
Rfam family: HDV ribozyme from F. prausnitzii
Source: RNAcentral
GCUGCUCAAAUCUUCACACAUCUCUCCGUGGUGAGCAGUAGUCAACGCCUAUAUGGGUGGCUGAGAGGUGAA